This 72-nucleotide transfer RNA is filed under the name Camelus bactrianus (Bactrian camel). It matches the Rfam family "tRNA". Rfam says of the family: Transfer RNA (tRNA) molecules are approximately 80 nucleotides in length. Their secondary structure includes four short double-helical elements and three loops (D, anti-codon, and T loops). The record is from Rfam by way of RNAcentral. RNAcentral also lists the same sequence under 2 other names. Lineage: Eukaryota; Metazoa; Chordata; Mammalia; Artiodactyla; Camelidae.
ACAAGUAUAGCUCAGUGGUAGAGCGCAUGCUUAGCAUGCACGAGGUUCUGGGUUCAAUCCCCAAUACCUCCA